UAGUGACCAACUCGCCUAGUAAGGCGGGAACUACCGUAGAAGACGGACUAAUACCGCAUAAUACUAAAUUACUGCAUGGUAAUUUAUUUAAACAUUUAUGGCUUACAGAUGGGCAUGCGCAUGAUUAACUAGUUGGAGAGGUAACGGCUCCCCAAGGCAACGAUCAUUAGGGGUUCUGAGAGGAAGGUCCCCCACACUGGUACUGAGACACGGACCAGACUCCUACGGGAGGCAGCAGUGAGGAAUAUUGGUCAAUGGACGAGAGUCUGAACCAGCCAAGUCGCGUGCAGGAAGAAUGUCCUAUGGAUUGUAAACUGCUUUUGCAGGGGAAUAAAGUGCAUCACGUGUGAUGUUUUGUAUGUACUCUGCGAAUAAGGAUCGGCUAACUCCGUGCCAGCAGCAGC
RNAcentral lists this ribosomal RNA (404 nucleotides) under uncultured bacterium. Its description in RNAcentral is "bacterial SSU rRNA". It matches the Rfam family "Bacterial small subunit ribosomal RNA", at positions 115 to 518 of the family's 1533-position model. The record is from RNAcentral.